RNAcentral lists this ribosomal RNA (112 nucleotides) under uncultured eukaryote. RNAcentral describes it as "partial small subunit ribosomal RNA". It matches the Rfam family "Eukaryotic small subunit ribosomal RNA", at positions 1676 to 1785 of the family's 1831-position model. The record is from RNAcentral.
UCGCUCCUACCGAUUGAAUGAUCCGGUGAAAUCCUUGGACUUUGCAUUUUGGGUGGUUCGCUACUCUUUUUGCGAGGGAAAUAGAUUAAACCUUAUCAUUUAGAGGAAGGAG